CUUGAUGGAGCCCAGCCACAGCGGCUCCGCGUCCCCGCGGCCUUGCCCGUACGUCGCGAGCAGCGCCUGGGCCUC
Molecule: non-coding RNA, 75 nt
Organism: Streptomyces roseus
Lineage: Bacteria; Bacillati; Actinomycetota; Actinomycetes; Kitasatosporales; Streptomycetaceae
Rfam family: ASpks TB sRNA
Source: Rfam